UACGGGGGGGGCAAGCGUUGUUCGGAAUUACUGGGCGUAAAGGGCUCGUAGGUGGCCAACUAAGUCGGACGUGAAAUCCCUCGGCUUAACCGGGGAACUGCGUCCGAUACUGGUUGGCUUGAGUUUGGGAGAGGGAUGCGGAAUUCCAGGUGUAGCGGUGAAAUGCGUAGAUAUCGGAAGGAACAUCAGUGGCGAAGGCGACUUCCUGGACCAAUACUGACGCUCAGGUGCGAAAGCGUGGGGAGCAAACAGG
This 253-nucleotide ribosomal RNA is filed under the name uncultured bacterium. RNAcentral describes it as "partial 16S ribosomal RNA". It matches the Rfam family "Bacterial small subunit ribosomal RNA", at positions 524 to 776 of the family's 1533-position model. The record is from RNAcentral.